UCAGGCAUCCACGGCGCUUUAAAAUAGUUGUUAUAGAUAUUCAAAUAACCCUGAAACAAAUGCUUAGGGAUUUUAUUGGUAUCAGGGUUAAUCGUGCCAAGAAAAGCGGCAUGGUCAAUAUAACCAGUAGUGUUAACAGUCGGGAGAGGAGUGGCAUUAACACCAUCCUUCAUGAACUUAAUCCACUGUUCACCAUAAACGUGACGAUGAGGGACAUAAAAAGUAAAAAUGUC
This 233-nucleotide ribosomal RNA is filed under the name uncultured prokaryote. Its description in RNAcentral is "partial 16S ribosomal RNA". The record is from RNAcentral.